This 325-nucleotide ribosomal RNA is filed under the name uncultured eukaryote. Its description in RNAcentral is "partial 18S ribosomal RNA". It matches the Rfam family "Eukaryotic small subunit ribosomal RNA", at positions 1470 to 1796 of the family's 1831-position model. The record is from RNAcentral.
CCCUUAGAUGUUCUGGGCCGCACGCGCGCUACACUGAUGCAUUCAACGAGCCUAUCCUUGACCGACAGGUCCGGGUAAUCUUUGAAUCUGCAUCGUGACGGGGAUAGAUUAUUGCAAUUAUUAAUCUUCAACGAGGAAUGCCUAGUAGGCGCAAGUCAUCAGCUUGCGUCGAUUACGUCCCUGCCCUUUGUACACACCGCCCGUCGCUCCUACCGAUUGAGUGUGCUGGUGAAAUGUUCGGAUCGGCCGUUUGUCGCGGUUUCCGCGUCAUGUGGCUGAGAAGUUCAUUAAACCCUCCCACCUAGAGGAAGGAGAAGUCGUAACA